GGCAACAUAGUUGAUUAACAACAUUAAAUUGCAGAUUUAAAAGUGUACUACGAUACUGAUGCCU
Molecule: transfer RNA, 64 nt
Filed under: Tonoscolex birmanicus
Lineage: Eukaryota; Metazoa; Annelida; Clitellata; Crassiclitellata; Megascolecidae
Description: tRNA-Cys
Source: RNAcentral